GCCAGCUAGCUCCUUCCUCCUCAGCACAGCCAACUGACUCCAACCCUCUCCCAACUUGCUAGCCCACCCUUUUAUAACACUCAGCCCCACUGGAUAUACCUGUGGCCUAUUAAGGGCAGGCCUGUUCCUAAUUCUUGGUAAUUAGUACAUCUGCAGCUCCCCAGGGGUGAGAUUGCCUUUAGCACUAUCUAUUAUUAUUCUAUAAUCCAUUCUCCCAGUGCUGGGCGCCUGUAGCAGGACCAGGGUCUGCAAGGCCUCCUUGGAGGCCAGAAGCCUGAGCAAGCUAAAGAGCUGAAAUCUCAAAGAGCUGAUAAUCAUUGAGAGCUGAAAUCACUAUAGCUUGCUUAAGGUUGCCUGCGGCUGGGAGCUGCUUGGUAAUUCAGACGCUGUGCUGAGAGCCUCCCUGAACUAUCCUGGCCAAGGCACCCACCGGGCAUAGCCCGUGUGGAAACCACCCCAAUAGGUGCCUACACUGGACAGAUUUCUUGCAAGGUGGCCAAGAUUCAUAAUUCCAGAUACGUGAUUCCUGUGAGUCUGUGGUCUUUGACAAACUACAUAUGAUCUUGAGAGUCUUUGAAGCUCUGUAAUAGUCAGAGCACAAUUUGUAGCUGUUCUGCCAGCCAUCAAGUACUUUCCCACAGAGAUGCUAGAAGGCCUGGCUUACAUAUUCCUGUGCUACACAUGGAGUGGGCAACGAUGUCCUGCACUUGGCAAACCCAACAGAUGAGAGGUCUGUCUCAUCAAGGUCAAAGCCCUUGCAGAGUCCCACUGUUCAGCCAGUUCCCCAGAGGUGUCUCUAGAUGAACAUUUGGAUAAGUUCUGUAGCUUAGAAAAAAACAGAGCCAGCUUUUGAACCCCCGAGAUUUUCUCAUAAGUGCAAACAACGUGUUAAUACUGCUUAUAUGUGAAGAGUUUCUACAGAAACUAUUUUCAAUCUUUAAUGCUGCUACACAACAAAUAAACAGAACAUGAUACUGCACACAGUGUUGCUACAUAUCCUUUUAAAUUUCUUCAUGAUUGCCGAUUAUUUCUGUAGUGUUAUAUAACUAGCAUUACAAGUCUGGAACCCUAUGAUUCUGUAACAGC
Long non-coding RNA from Passer domesticus (house sparrow), 1086 nucleotides. RefSeq lists it as uncharacterized. The record is from RefSeq and is a predicted model, not a curated record. NCBI's taxonomy places the organism in Eukaryota, Metazoa, Chordata, Aves, Passeriformes, Passeridae. The transcript is spliced from 4 exons.